Molecule: non-coding RNA, 1607 nt
Organism: Labrus bergylta (ballan wrasse)
Lineage: Eukaryota; Metazoa; Chordata; Actinopteri; Labriformes; Labridae
Source: RefSeq, a predicted model, not a curated record
GAGGAAGAGGAAUUAAACGGACAUCGGAGAGGGAAUUUGACCGACACUGUGACGUGCCUGGACGGAGGAUUACCACAGUCUCCAACCGUGGGGAGAUUUUGUCUUCCCUCUAAAAAUAGGCGACUUUGGUGCUCAGCCUGCUGCAGGUCUGCCCGCCCCCGCUCGGAGAUGAUAACGGAGAUGCUGACUGGUUGAAAGACGAGCUUUCAGUCAGCGCCUCAGAAUUUGUUGGUUAAACUCCAAACUGCAUUUCUCCAAGAAAAAUGAUUCCGGAGCUCCUCGCUGGAUUAUUACAGUAGGGUUGUCUGUGGUGUGAUUUGUUGGUGAUCGGAGCUGGACACCGCCCGGACCCCUGCUACCGGACCGGGAUUUCAGCUUCCAGCCCUUCUUGCUGACGGGAGGAAACUGCGCACAUAACCGGAACCAGCCGUGCAGAGACCCACACGGAUGCUUGAAUAAGUGAGAAGGUUAUUUGCACUCAAGGACACCCUCCGUGUUGGUGGUGGGUGUAGUUUCGUUGGGUUUUUGGAAGCACAGACCGGAGCUGCGCGCAGAUUUCUCGCGGAUUUAAAGUGCUCUACCAUAGAAAGGGAGAAAAGGCUCCAAUCAAAAUGUGCCUCGUGGUUUGACCUGAAGGAAGGAAGAGUGACUGCAUCAAACAUCCGAGAAGCCUGCUACACCGACCCAAACAAACCAGCAGUAUCUCUGCUAAAGAAAUGGUGUUAUCAUGUGGCCUUCAAGAUGACGAACAACACACCACAGUCGCUCAGGUGAGACAUUGAACAUGAAGAACAGGUCGUUCAGGAGUAUAUCAACAUGAAGGAGAGCCACCACACCAGCCUCACUAUCAGGCAGAGUACAUCACAGCAGAUUACACAGACAACAAGCUCCAGUAUCCCAACGAGUGUACCAAGGUUCCAUGAUGAGGUUGGGUGGCAGACAGACUCCCCACAAGUCUCAGAGGCCACACAGACAUACCUACCUCCAAAGGGGGUCAUCAGUCCACACACAGUGGGUCUGGGGUACACUAAGAGACAAGCAAAGGUACGCACACACACCUAAAGAAUUGUCCAACUGCUGAAAUCUGAGCUAGAAUAUCAGAAAAAUUUGAUUUCAUUGUUUAAUUGCGGAUUUUAGCUUUUUAUAUUGUAGCUUGUUGCUUUCUGUGAUGCAUUACAACGCAAAGACCUGUCGCCCUGACCUCUGUGGUGAUGAAGUCUUUUGAGCGCUGAAGUAGCAAAAACUCAAAAAUCAGGAUAUGUUGGGGACUCGAUGGCACUGGUGUUGGAGGAGAUGUUUCAGGAACCAGAACCAUUCAUGGAGGAGCUGCAGAAAAUUCCUGUCUCUCAAAAGAAGGAGGGUGGCUCGACACGUGUCCAGGUGUAGUCAAGGGGCGGGCCGAAGCCAACAUACUGUCCAGUCGGGUCAGGAAACUCAGGACGAAUCCUCAGGACGACACACGACAGGAUCACCACUCCAACCCCUGCCAAGUGUCUGCACAGCCUGUAUGAGACAAUGUAGUUGGACGUUAAUAUGUUACUUCUCAUUUUGUAUUUACACGUAUAGUUCUACACAUUUAAAUGUUUUUUUAACCUUAGCUGAGAAUA